This 302-nucleotide ribosomal RNA is filed under the name uncultured bacterium. Its description in RNAcentral is "partial 16S ribosomal RNA". It matches the Rfam family "Bacterial small subunit ribosomal RNA", at positions 508 to 807 of the family's 1533-position model. The record is from RNAcentral.
GCAGUAGCCGCGGGAAUACGAAGGGGGCUAGCGUUGCUCGGAAUGACUGGGCGUAAAGGGCGCGUAGGCGGCAUACACAGUCAGAUGUGAAAUUCCUGGGCUUAACCUGGGGGCUGCAUUUGAUACGUGUAGGCUAGAGUGGGGAAGAGGGUUGUGGAAUUCCCAGUGUAGAGGUGAAAUUCGUAGAUAUUGGGAAGAACACCGGUGGCGAAGGCGGCAACCUGGUCCUUGACUGACGCUGAGGCGCGAAAGCGUGGGGAGCAAACAGGAUUAGAUACCCCCGUAGUCCCUGUCUCUUAUAC